Molecule: long non-coding RNA, 1217 nt
Filed under: Homo sapiens (human)
Lineage: Eukaryota; Metazoa; Chordata; Mammalia; Primates; Hominidae
Description: long intergenic non-protein coding RNA 658
Source: RNAcentral
AGAUCUCUCUCUCUGCGGAAGCCAGCCACCGCUCUCCAAGGACUCUCGAGCAGCUCCAUCUACAGAUUCACAUGGAGAAGAAUUAAGGGUUCCUGCCAAUCACCAGCACCACUUUGCCAGCCUUGUAAGUGGGCCACCUUGGAAUUGGAGCCUCCAGUUCCUACUGACAUCUGACUGCAACAUCAUGAGAGACCCUGAGUUUGAACCACCCAGCUGAGCUGCUUCUGAGCUAACCCACUGAAACCGUGAAAGUACCUGAAUGAAACAACACCCAGUAGCCACUAGCACACCUAGCUCCCAGAUCUGUUUUUGAUGCCAUUCUUCAGUAAAAGGAAGCAAGGCUGCUUGGAGAAAUUGCUAUCAAGGACUGGGGUAGAAAAUAUACAAGAUGAAAUUGGAGCAUCUUGUAGUGCUUGAAAACAGUUGGCAUCUGUGUGAAGAUGUGAAUGGAGGAGGCAGAGUAGGCAGUGAGUGCCGCAGCCACAGCUUGUGUUCUCUGCAGCCCUGGCACAGAAGAUAGGAACACUCAUGGGGGAUGCGGCCACUGUGAUGUCUUCCCACACAAGAAGUGCCAAGUGCUUUUCUCAUGCUUUUCUGGAUUGUCCCAUGGUGGACGAGUCAGCAGGAGUGAGAUGGAGCAGCACAGUAGAGGGGUACCUGGCAAGGCCCGGAGGGAGGACCCCCUGCCCCAAACAUUUCAAUGAUAUCAGGUUCCUUAGAUCCUGGGAUGAGGAGGUGGACCAGCAGAAGGUGGGCUUGUGAAGGCAGCCCGGGGUCCAAAUCCUCCUGGCUCUUCAGCUUAGCGGGAUGUCACCUUCAGCGUCUGAAAGCUGGGUUUGAUGCGUCUGGAAAGGCGUCCCUGACAGGCGUCGUUGCCAGGAGCCCCUAGUGCCACCAGCAGCCAGCAGGGGAGGGCGUCCUCUGCCCGCUCACUUCUGACCCUUCUCUCGUUGCACCCGGAACAUGGUGCAGCUGGGAGCAGCCUGGGCUGCGCGGAAGGCUCAGAUUUGGGGACGGCCCUUGCCAGUGACUGUGAGCUGGGGUGUCUUGGAAACUCCCAGUCUCAGCUUCUCCAUUUAUAAGAUGAGAAUGAUCAUACCAGACUCAGGCAAGGUUGUUUGUGCAUUAGUGAAAUCAGACGUAUUAAAUAAAGUACCACAUUGAUCGUGGAGUUGUUGAAUAACCAAGAACACGCCUAUCUGUCUCCAAAAAAUAAA